Non-coding RNA from Hemiscyllium ocellatum (epaulette shark), 1444 nucleotides. NCBI's taxonomy places the organism in Eukaryota, Metazoa, Chordata, Chondrichthyes, Orectolobiformes, Hemiscylliidae. The record is from the annotation of a RefSeq genome assembly.
UCAAGCAACAUUUUCACGUUGGACAUGACUAACCUGAAGAUCGAAGACACCGCCAUCUAUUACUUUGCAAGAGACAGUAUAGCUAUUACUGGGGCCAAGGGACCAUGGUGACAGUGACUUCAGAGACACCAUCUCCCCUCACGCUUUAUGGCCUGUUCUCCUCCUGUGAGGAGCACAACACCGAUUCUGCAAUCUUUGGUUGUUUGGUGAUGGACUAUUCCCCUGACGUCACCAAGGUAACCUGGAAGAAAGGUGGGGAGCUAAUCACGGAUGGAUUGAAGACUUACCCAUCAGUGAGAAACAAGAAGGGAACCUACACCCUGGGCAGCCAGUUAACCCUGCCCGGGUCAGCGGUAGAUUGCCCCAGCAAAAUCUACUGUGAGGUUCAACACAGCGGGUCACACAGGAGCAAAGAAAUGCCAUGUCCAGGUACAGGUCCUCUCCCACCAACUCUUCUCCUAACUGUGAGCUCCAGUGAAGAAAUCGCAAGCAGCAAGUUUGCAACCGUCGUCUGUUCAAUCAUCGAUUUCCAUCCGAAGUCAAUCUCCGUGAGUUGGUUGAAAAAUGGCCAACUCUUGGAUUCUGGCUUCUUCACGUCUCCCGUGUGUGAGGCGAACGGGAACUUCUCGGUGACGAGUCGGCUGAUGGUCCCUUAUGGUGAAUGGUACAACAACGCAGUCUAUACCUGCCAGGUCACUCAUGAAGAGAACGUUCAAAGUAAAAACAUCACCGCACUCCAGGAAGAUACCGACUGCCACCCUAACACCGUUAAAAUCCUCCCACCGCCAGUAGAACAAGUCUUACUGGAGGCAACGGUGACGUUAACCUGCGUUGUGUCCAAUCUCCCUUCUGGAGUCAACGUGACCUGGAAACAAGAAAAGAAGCCUCUGAAAUCAGAGAUUGCUGACCAGCCCGGACAGAAUCCUGACAGCGUGAUCAGCAAAUUAGACAUUUCGACUGAAGCCUGGCUGAGUGGCGUUACCUUUGAAUGUGUGGUGAACCAUCAAAAUCUACCGACUCCGCUGAGGGACUCCAUCCACAAGGAGAAAGUGAUUAAUCCGCUGGAGCCAUCAGUGUCGGUCCUCCUGCUACCAACAGAAGAAAUCUCCGCUCAGAGGUUUCUCUCCCUCACCUGUUUAGUGAGAGGUUUCUCCCCCCGAGAGAUCUUCGUCAAGUGGACAAACAAUGACAAGCAGGUGAAUCCCAGUAACUACAAGAACACCGAAGUGAUGGCGGAGAGUGACAACACCUCCUUCUUCAGGACCGCCUGUUAUCCAUUACAGCGGAGGAGUGGGCCAGCGGUGCUUCUUACUCCUGUGUGGUGGGACAUGAAGCGAUUCCAUUGAAGAUCAUCAACAGACAGUCGAUAAAUCCAGCGGUAAACCGAGUUUCGUAAACAUUUCACUUGCACUGAUGGACACUGUUAAUUCAUGUCAAUAAAAAU